Non-coding RNA from Pelobates cultripes (western spadefoot toad), 270 nucleotides. The record is from the annotation of a GenBank genome assembly. Lineage: Eukaryota; Metazoa; Chordata; Amphibia; Anura; Pelobatidae.
AUUGAUAUCACUUAAUAUUGUUUAAUGUGUAUAUGUACAAGAGGCUACGGGUUGAGGGACCAACUGCACUGGGAGUUUCCAUGGCAUGUUACAUCACACUUUUAUAGUGUUAAUUUUGUUUACUUAAUAAGAAUAUUUGCAAGCGACAAUUUGAACUGUCCCACUGUGUGUCACAGCGUGCAUUCAAUGCCUAAAUCUCCAGUGUUCUUGUACAGUUUUCCACAAUAGGUAGUUCCAAGCUUUUUUCUGUGUGGUACGGUAUUGUCCACU